Long non-coding RNA from Ictalurus punctatus (channel catfish), 1184 nucleotides. Lineage: Eukaryota; Metazoa; Chordata; Actinopteri; Siluriformes; Ictaluridae. The record is from Ensembl.
UACAAGUAUGGCUGUUGAACAUGGGUCCAGUAUGGAGAACUUUUCUGUAUUGACUAGUCUUAGACUUACUGUCAUUUAGACUUGGACUUGUCUCAGUCUGAGAUAAAUAUGGUCUUGAACUUGACUGAGAGUUUGUAUGGAUGGAUGUGGAUGGAUGGGCUCUGGAAUGGAUUUUGACUCUUCCUCACUUUUAUUUGGACUCGAACUUGACUUGGCCUGACAUGGUCUUAACUAAAUCCCGGACUUGGCAAUGGCGGUCUGAUUAAAGGGCUGCCCAGACGGAGACCCAGGACCUGCUGGAGAGUCUAAAUUUCACAGUUGGUUUGGAAAUGUUUAGGGAUGCCCCACGAGGAACUAGAAUCUGUAGCUGUUCUAGAAAAGUCUGGUCUGACCUUCUCAACCUGUUCCCCUGCAACCCCUACCAGGAAAAAUGGGUCACGGGGAGCCUGAAGCCUAUCCCAGGGAACUCGGGGCGUGAUUCGGGGGACACCCUGGACGGGGUGCUAUCUUAUCGCAAGGCACAAUCACACACAUUCACACGUUAGAGAUGGCAAUCAACCUACAACGCAUGUCUUUGGACUGGGGGAGGAAACCUGAGUACCCAGAAAAAACCCCCGAAGCACGGGGAGAACAUGCAAACUCUGCACGCACAGGGCGGAGACGGGAUUUGAAUUUUCAGCUUGGGUGCCCUUAAAUGGUCAAUUAGUGGUCUGCUGAGAGAACACUGGAGGUCAAGCUGAGUGUAACACUAGUGAGAUGUGAUGCACCGUCUCAGGACGCUGAUGCGCCGAUAUGCCGAGCUAUUGUACUGUCGGAGAAGAAGAUCGCAAGGAAAUGAUACUCCAUGCAUGGCCUACAUCGACCCGAUCUGAAGUCUUUUCCUGUCUGAGAAUUAACAAGAGGACUAUAAUCUUUUAAAAUGUUUUAAAUUAGUAUUGGGUCCGAGUCCACCUUUGUGGAGUUCGACUCGAGACCAAGUCGAGCCCGAGUCCAAAAGGGGCCGAGUUGGACUUAGGUCAGAGUCCUUAAAGGUCGAGUCUGAGUCCAAGUCCGAGUCCGGAUGAGUCCAGAAAGUAAUUAAAUUGAAAAACGAGUUGAAAUUGCAAUUGUAAACUUAACACUGAGCUGUUAAAUUAAUACAUUAACCUUCACAAACUAACGGCAACAUGAAUGUAACAAUAAAU